This 297-nucleotide long non-coding RNA is filed under the name Panax ginseng (ginseng). RNAcentral's name for it is "long non-coding RNA (PGIN_LNC013130)". Lineage: Eukaryota; Viridiplantae; Streptophyta; Magnoliopsida; Apiales; Araliaceae. The record is from RNAcentral.
CCUGCCCCACUAACAGUUAGGGUAGAGGAACCAUCUGCAUAUAGAGUCCAAACAUUCUGAUUUUGUUGAAGAACUGCAACUACUCGAUCGGUCGAUUCAGCUUCCGAGAACUCGGCAUCUGCUUCGGUGAACGAACAUUCUACCAUGAAAUCGGCCAAAGCUUGACCGUUGAUAGCGGUUCGGGGAUGGUAUUCGAUGAAAAAUUGGGACAAUUCCAUAGUCCAUGCCGCUAGUCUCCCUGAAACUUCUGGCUUGCCCAUCACUUUCUUCAAUGGCUGAUCCGUGUAGACGACCAGG